UAGGUAGUGAGAAUAAAAUGCUCAGUUAAAGCUUGAACCAAGACGUGGUAUCAUCGGUACAGUAGUUCUUAUUUUUGGUUACUGGUAUCAUUAACGUUUGGAUUUCUAAUUACUGGUGGAUGGAUAUUAAUAUUUUGUAGGAAUAACACAAAAUAUUGAAGAAACUCGGGUGGCAUAUUGUUCUUAUACUAGCUUUUGGACUUUCAUGCAUUUUUGGGGUUGAUUUUCCAACAUUCGGCAGUGAUUGAGCCCAUCUUAACACCUUGAUUUCAAUUGAAGGAUUCUCUAUCUGGCUGCCGUAGUGUGAUGUCGGCAAAAAAGAGAUGCUUUGACGAAAAGAUGUGGUAAUGACAUAAGAACCUACAGUAGAGGGAAUAACUCAGAACCUUCUACCUAGUCGAUGGCAUAAAUAACUUUUGUCAACAGAAAGUGGAAGAAUGGAAGAAAGUAGACAUUGAUUCCAGUAAACACUGCAUAUCUUCAAAUUAAGCUUGAGUCAUUAAAGAAUUAGUGAUCUUAUUACGGUAGCUGUCUGUGUCAUCACAAAGCCUUCAUCGUUUUUGUCAAGUGGCGGUUUGCUAAUAUUUGUUGUUAUGCGACAACUAUAAAAGAUUACACACUGGUAGUGAGUAGAAUGAUGCCGCCAGUGAUGGACGAUGACAACGAGUACGUCAUCCUGCUAGACCACUCUAAUUCCCACCGUUGAGCACCCCAUGUCCAUGUGCCGCCUGAUGCGUAUCACCGGGCACUUAAAACAUUAGAAGCUGAUCAAGCACUGACCUGGUUUAAGCCUGCCAUCAUGUUCUUGAUAACAGCAUGCACAGGUGAUGAGCUCUGAUAUCACAGCUGCGUACCUUACGUCAUCUGCUCAAUGUGCAGAUGUGUCCUGGAGACUUACGAAUGCUUCAACAUAAUGGCAUGGAUCAUUACCAUUCUCUUCUAGAUAUAAAGCUGCUGAAAUUUUGUAUCAUUUUGAAGCAAAGUAUUACUGUUUUUAUGGACAUAAUUUUAUUUCAUUAUACAGUGCAACCCUUUAUUAAGAGGACGCCUUCAGGACAAAAAAAAAAGUGUUCCCUGAAUAGAGGCUGAUCAUAGUGUUAAAAGAUACUGUAUAUUUUUCUCACUUUGUGGCAAAAAAGUGUCUGCUUAAUAGGUACCGGUAUGUCCCCAAAGGAGUGGUUCUAUUGUAAUCUACAGUAUAUUGAAUGAACUUUUAAAUGAUUUUCUUACAUUGUAAGACUUCAUAUCAAAUCAUUAAUAAAGAUGUAUUAGACAUCAUGACAAUGCUUUUUGGUAAAUGUUGUUAAAUAUACCACAAUAUAGUUUUUAGACAGUGUAAUAUAAUGUGUACUAUUUUUUUUAUGUUGAAAUGGCAGAAUGGGAUUCAUGUUGUUACUCUAAAUAAUUUUUCUCUCCCAUCCCUACUUUCUCUCCUACACCCCCCCCCCCAAGCCAUUUUACUGCCUUCUCUCCCACCUAUGCACUCACCUAUCUCACCUCCUGUCAUGUCAUCCUGUACAUAAAAAACUUUUGAUUUAACUCUUUUGAAUAUCAAUUCAGUUUCACUGUCAGAAUUUUUCGUGGCACAUUUGUUCAAAUCACUAAAAUCUGGCAACAGCCCAAGUGUACUGCAUUUGACCUGUCUGACCUGCUGGGCAAGUUUAUCUACCUAACUGGCCUAAGGAAUCAGAGAGUUAUAGGUGAUGCCAAAAAGGGUACUGUACUAGUAUUUACUGUACUUCAUCAUUGAUAAUACCUACCAGUUGCUUUACAUGAUCCUCACCUCAGAUAUGCUAUUAAUGCAGUUCGUAGAUUGAAGAUGUUAGUUUAUUCUCAUGAAUAGGAAUGGAUGGAUUUCCAAUACAAGACAAAAUAAACUGUAAUGUUGCUUGCUCCUUCUAGGUAGAGCUGCAAAUCUUUAAUAAAAACGUUCAGAAAAAUUCUUCAAUAAAAUUCAAAGAUUCUUGUA
RNAcentral lists this long non-coding RNA (1969 nucleotides) under Anneissia japonica. Its description in RNAcentral is "uncharacterized LOC117120071, transcript variant X2". The record is from RNAcentral. Lineage: Eukaryota; Metazoa; Echinodermata; Crinoidea; Comatulida; Comatulidae.